Molecule: microRNA precursor, 282 nt
Filed under: Daphnia pulex (common water flea)
Lineage: Eukaryota; Metazoa; Arthropoda; Branchiopoda; Diplostraca; Daphniidae
Description: Dpu-Mir-375_pre stem-loop
Source: RNAcentral
ACUCGAGCUGAUCGUAUAAGCCUGGAGUUUUUAUCGCGCUUCAUGGUGCGAAAAGAUUUCUCGCAACUCUUUCUCCGGCGACGACAUUUUUAUUUUUCGUCUUUCUCUCUCCUGAUUUCUUUUCACCAAUUUUUCUACUGCUGGCGAUUGCAAUCCUGUCGGUUGAAGUUGAAUGGGAGAGAGAAAAGGAGCGAGAGAGACGGGAGUGUGUCGUGAAAAAAGUCGCCGGAGUUGAUGUUGCGGUCACAUUUGCAGUUCGGUUUGUUCGUUCGGCUUGAGUUA